AGCAGCAUGGCGCAGUUGGAAGCGCGCGGGGCCCAUACCCAACUGGUGCGACCCCGAGGUCACUUGAUCGAAACAAGUUGCUGCUA
Non-coding RNA from Asterophora parasitica, 86 nucleotides. NCBI's taxonomy places the organism in Eukaryota, Fungi, Basidiomycota, Agaricomycetes, Agaricales, Lyophyllaceae. The record is from the annotation of a GenBank genome assembly.